RNAcentral lists this ribosomal RNA (433 nucleotides) under uncultured bacterium. RNAcentral's name for it is "partial 16S ribosomal RNA". It matches the Rfam family "Bacterial small subunit ribosomal RNA", at positions 29 to 507 of the family's 1533-position model. The record is from RNAcentral.
AGCGAACGCUGGCGGCAUGCCUAACACAUGCAAGUCGAACGAGACCUUCGGGUAUAGUGGCGCAAGGGUGCGUAACGCGUGAGAACCUGCCCUUAGGUUCGGAAUAACUCCUCGAAAGGGGUGCUAAUACCGGAUAAUGUCUUCGGACCAAAGAUUUAUCGACUUUGGAUGGGCCCGCGUUGUAUUAGCUAGUUGGUAGGGUAAAAGCCUACCAAGGCGACGAUACAUAGCUGGUCUGAGAGGAUGAUCAGCCACACUGGGACUGAGACACGGCCCAGACUCCUCCGGGAGGCAGCAGUGGGGAAUAUUGGACAAUGGGCGAAAGCCUGAUCCAGCAAGGCCGCGUGAGUGAUGAAGGCCUUAGGGUUGUAAAGCUCGUUUACCCGGGAUGAUAAUGACAGUACCGGGAGAAUAAGCUCCGGCUAACUCCGUG